UACGGGGGGGGCAAGCGUUGUUCGGAAUUACUGGGCGUAAAGCGUGCGCAGGCGGUCUGUUAAGACCGAUGUGAAAUCCCCGGGCUUAACCUGGGAACUGCAUUGGUGACUGGCAGGCUUUGAGUGUGGCAGAGGGAGGUAGAAUUCCACGUGUAGCAGUGAAAUGCGUAGAGAUGUGGAGGAAUACCGAUGGCGAAGGCAGCCUCCUGGGCCAACACUGACGCUCAUGCACGAAAGCGUGGGGAGCAAACAGG
Molecule: ribosomal RNA, 254 nt
Filed under: uncultured bacterium
Lineage: Bacteria
Description: partial 16S ribosomal RNA
Rfam family: Bacterial small subunit ribosomal RNA
Source: RNAcentral